CAAUAGCGUAUAUUAAAGUUGUUGCAGUUAAAAAGCUCGUAGUUGGAUUUCUGGAUGGAGCGACCGGUCGGGCAUUAAUUUGUCUGCACUGGAGUCGGUUCCGUCCAUCCUCUUGGAAAGUGCGUCGGGCAUUAAGUUGUUUGGCGUAUGAUCCAAGUCGUUUACUGUGAAAAAAUUAGAGUGUUUAAAGCAGGCCUUCGCCUUGAAUACAUUAGCAUGGAAUAAUAAGAUAGGACUUUGGUCUAUUUUGUUGGUUUGCAGACCGAAGUAAUGAUUAAUAGGGAUAGUUGGGGGUUUUUAUAUUCCGAUGUCAGAGGUGAAAUUCUUAGAUUUUCGGAAGAUAAACUUAUGCGAAAGCAUUUACCAAGGAUGUUUUCAUUAA
This 382-nucleotide ribosomal RNA is filed under the name uncultured eukaryote. RNAcentral's name for it is "partial 18S ribosomal RNA". It matches the Rfam family "Eukaryotic small subunit ribosomal RNA", at positions 592 to 976 of the family's 1831-position model. The record is from RNAcentral.